RNAcentral lists this ribosomal RNA (664 nucleotides) under uncultured bacterium. Its description in RNAcentral is "bacterial SSU rRNA". It matches the Rfam family "Bacterial small subunit ribosomal RNA", at positions 59 to 742 of the family's 1533-position model. The record is from RNAcentral.
CAGUCGAACGGAGAUUGUAGCAAUACGGUCUCAGUGGCGAACGGGUGAGUAACGCGUUGGUGACCUGCCCCGAAGUGUGGAAUAACAGAUCGAAAGAGCUGCUAAUACCGCAUAAUAUCCAGAAGAUUAGAUGCUUUUGGAUUAAAGGAUUUAUUCGCUUCGGGAGGGGCCUGCGUCCCAUCAGCUAGUUGGUAAGGUAAAGGCUUACCAAGGCUAUGACGGGUAGGGGACCUGAGAGGGUGGCCCCCCACAAUGGAACUGAAACACGGUCCAUACACCUACGGGUGGCAGCAGUAGGGAAUAUUAGUAAUGGGCGAAAGCCUGAACUAGCAACGCCGCGUGUGCGAAGAAGGCCUUCGGGUUGUAAAGCACUUUUUGAGAGGAUGAGGAAGGACGGUACUCUCAGAAUAAGUCUCGGCUAACUACGUGCCAGCAGCCGCGGUAACACGUAGGAGGCAAACGUUAUCCGGAUUUACUGGGCGUAAAGCGCGUGUAGGUGGUUUGGUAAGUAGGGCGUGAAAGCUCCUGGCUCAACUGGGAGAGGCCGUUCUAAACUGCCGAACUAGAGGAUGGUAGAGGGAGGUGGAAUUCCGGGUGUAGCGGUGGAAUGCGCAGAUAUCCGGAGGAACACCAGUGGCGAAAGCGGCCUCCUGGACCAUUCCUG